This 390-nucleotide ribosomal RNA is filed under the name uncultured eukaryote. Its description in RNAcentral is "SSU rRNA". It matches the Rfam family "Eukaryotic small subunit ribosomal RNA", at positions 587 to 972 of the family's 1831-position model. The record is from RNAcentral.
AGCUCCAAGAGCAUAUAUUAAAGUUGUUGCAGUUAAAAAGCUCGUAGUUGGACUUCUGGUUUAAUGCACCUGGCCCGCGGUCUUUCAGACAUGUGAGUGCCGGCGCGCGUUUACCAUCCUUCCAGAUAACGUGUCUUCCCUUCACUGGGCCGGAUUCGGGGUCUGGAUCUUUUACUUUGAAAAAAUUAGAGUGUUUAAAGCAGGCUUUUGCUAUGAAUACAUUAGCAUGGAAUAAUAAUCUAGGACUUCGGUUCUAUUUUGUUGGUUUCUAUAACUGAAGUAAUGAUUGAUAGGGACAGUUGGGGGUGCUAGUAUUGGCCGGUCAGAGGUGAAAUUCUUGGAUUCGGUCAAGACUAACUUAUGCGAAAGCAUUCACCAAGGAUGUCUUCU